ACUAAGCGUAUGUGGUGGAUGCCUAGGCGAUAAGAGGCGAUGAAGGACGUAGUAAUCUGCGAAAAGCCCCGGUGAGCUGAUAAACAAGCUGUGACCCGAGGAUGUCCGAAUGGGGAAACCCGGCACUAUAAGGUGUCAUCGUAAUCUGAAUACAUAGGAUUACGAAGCUAACCCGGAGAACUGAAACAUCUAAGUACCCGGAGGAACAGAAAUCAACCGAGAUUCCCUUAGUAGCGGCGAGCGAACGGGGACCAGCCCUUAAGCGGCUUUAAUGAUAAGAGAACACGUUGGGAAGCGUGACCAGAGUGGGUGAUAGUCCCGUAUCUGAAAUCAUUUUAGUCGUGAAAACGAGUAGGUCGGGACACGUGAUAUCCUGAUUGAACAUGGGGGGACCAUCCUCCAAGGCUAAAUACUCCUUAUCGACCGAUAGUGAACCAGUACCGUGAGGGAAAGGCGAAAAGAACCCCGGAGAGGGGAGUGAAAUAGAACCUGAAACCGCAUACGUACAAGCAGUGGGAGCCUGAAUUUAUUCGGGUGACUGCGUACCUUUUGUAUAAUGGGUCAGCGACUUACUCAUCGUGGCAAGCUUAAGCGUAUAGCGUAGGCGUAGGGAAACCGAGUCUUAAUAGGGCGACAAGUCGCGGUCAGUAGACCCGAAACCGAGCGAUCUAUCCAUGGCCAGGUUGAAGGUGGGGUAACACCUACUGGAGGACCGAACCCACGUAUGUUGAAAAAUGCGGGGAUGAGCUGUGGAUCGGAGUGAAAGGCUAAUCAAGCUCGGAGAUAGCUGGUUCUCCUCGAAAUCUAUUUAGGUAGAGCCUCAUGUAUUACUCACGGGGGUAGAGCACUGUUAUGGCUAGGGGGGCCUGACCGCCUUACCAACCCAUUGCAAACUCCGAAUACCGUGAAGUAGCAGCAUGGGAGUCACACGGCGGGUGCUAACGUCCGUCGUGGAAAGGGAAACAACCCAGACCGCCAGCUAAGGUCCCAAAAUUACAGCUCAGUGGGAAACGAUGUGGGAAGGCACAGACAGCCAGGAGGUUGGCUUAGAAGCAGCCAUCCUUUAAAGAAAGCGUAAUAGCUCACUGGUCGAGUCGGCCUGCGCGGAAGAUUUAACGGGGCUCAAGCUGUAUACCGAAGCUGCGGAAUCGGAUUUAUCCGAUUGGUAGAGGAGCGUUCUGUAAGCCAAUGAAGGUGAAUCGUAAGGUUUGCUGGAGGUAUCAGAAGUGCGAAUGCUGACAUAAGUAACGAUAAGACGGGUGAAAAACCCGUCCGCCGAAAAUCCAAGGUUUCCUGCGCAACGUUAAUCGGCGCAGGGUUAGUCGGCCCCUAAGGCGAGGCAGAGAUGCGUAGUCGAUGGGAAACAGGUUAAUAUUCCUGUACCGCUAAUAAGUGCGAUGGGGUGACGGAGAAGGCUAGGCUAGAACACAGUUGGUGUGUAUCUAAGCGUUUAGGCAGAGAACUUAGGCAAAUCCGGGUUCUUAAUGCUGAGGCGUGAUGGCGACGGUUCUACGGAACUGGAGUAGUCGAUGCCAUGCUUCCAGGAAAAACCUCUAAGCUUCAGCUUAUUAGUGACCGUACUCUAAACGGACACACGUGGAUAGGAUGAGAAUUCCAAGGCGCUUGAGAGAACUCUGGUGAAGGAACUAGGCAAAAUAGCACCGUAACUUCGGGAGAAGGUGCGCCCCUGACGGUUCAUAGCUGUUGGGGGCCGCAGAGACCAGGUGGCUGCGACUGUUUAUCAAAAACACAGCACUCUGCUAACGCGAAAGCGGACGUAUAGGGUGUGACGCCUGCCCGGUGCCGGAAGGUUAAUUGAUGGGGUUAGCUUCGGCGAAGCUCUUGAUCGAAGCCCCGGUAAACGGCGGCCGUAACUAUAACGGUCCUAAGGUAGCGAAAUUCCUUGUCGGGUAAGUUCCGACCUGCACGAAUGGCGUAACGACGGCCACACUGUCUCCACCAGAGGCUCAGUGAAAUUGAAAUCGCAGUUAAGAUGCUGCGUACCCGCGGCUAGACGGAAAGACCCCGUGCACCUUUACUACAGCUUUGCACUGAACAUCGGGCCUACUUGUGUAGGAUAGCUGGGAGGCUUUGAAACCGGGACGCUAGUUCCGGUGGAGCCAAUCUUGAAAUACCAGCCUGGUAGUUCUGAUGUUCUAACCACGGCCCCUGAUCGGGGUUUGGGACAGUGUAUGGUGGGUAGUUUGACUGGGGCGGUCUCCUCCUAAAGCGUAACGGAGGAGCGCGAAGGUUCACUAAUCAUGGUCGGAAAUCAUGAGGUUUGUGCAAAGGCAUAAGUGAGCUUGACUGCGAGACAGACACGUCGAGCAGGUACGAAAGUAGGUCUUAGUGAUCCGGUGGUUCUGUAUGGAAGGGCCAUCGCUCAACGGAUAAAAGGUACGCCGGGGAUAACAGGCUGAUACCGCCCAAGAGUUCAUAUCGACGGCGGUGUUUGGCACCUCGAUGUCGGCUCAUCACAUCCUGGGGCUGAAGCGGGUCCCAAGGGUAUGGCUGUUCGCCAUUUAAAGUGGUACGCGAGCUGGGUUCAGAACGUCGUGAGACAGUUCGGUCCCUAUCUGCCGUGGGCGUUAGAAUAUUGAGGAAAGCUGCUCCUAGUACGAGAGGACCGGAGUGGACGAACCUCUGGUGUACCGGUUGUCACGCCAGUGGCAUAGCCGGGUAGCUAAGUUCGGACAGGAUAACCGCUGAAAGCAUCUAAGCGGGAAGCCCCUUCCAAGAUGAGUAUUCUCUGGAGACUAGAUCUCCCUAAAGGGCCGUUGAAGACUACGACGUUGAUAGGCACCAUGUGGAAGCGCAGUAAUGUGUGUAGCUAAGGUGUACUAAUUGCCCGUGAGGCUUGAUU
Molecule: ribosomal RNA, 2863 nt
Filed under: Leucothrix mucor DSM 2157
Lineage: Bacteria; Pseudomonadati; Pseudomonadota; Gammaproteobacteria; Thiotrichales; Thiotrichaceae
Description: bacterial LSU rRNA
Rfam family: Bacterial large subunit ribosomal RNA
Source: RNAcentral